GACGAACGCUGGCGGCGUGCUUAACACAUGCAAGUCGAACGGAAAGGCCCUGCUUUUGUGGGGUUCUCGAGUGGCGAACGGGUGAGUAACACGUGAGUAACCUGCCCUUGACUUUGGGAUAACUUCAGGAAACUAGGGCUAAUACCGGAUAGGAGACCCUGCUGCAUGGUGGGGGUUGGAAAGUUUCGGCUGUUGGGGAUGGACUCGCGGCUUAUCAGCUUGUUGGUGGGGUAGUGGAUUACCAAGGCUGUGACGGGUAGCCCGCCUGAGAGGGUGAACGGGGACAUUGGGACUGAGAGACGGCGCAGACUGCUACAGGAGGCAGCAGUGGGGAAUAUUGCACAGUGGGCGCAAGCCUGAUGCAGCAACGUCGCGUGCGGGAUGACCGCCUUCGGGGUGUAAACCGCUUUCGGCUGUGACGAAGCGUGAGUGACGGUAAUGGGUAAAGAAGCACCGGCUAACUACGUG
RNAcentral lists this ribosomal RNA (468 nucleotides) under uncultured bacterium. RNAcentral's name for it is "partial 16S ribosomal RNA". It matches the Rfam family "Bacterial small subunit ribosomal RNA", at positions 28 to 507 of the family's 1533-position model. The record is from RNAcentral.